Molecule: unclassified non-coding RNA, 351 nt
Filed under: fungal sp.
Lineage: Eukaryota; Fungi
Description: partial internal transcribed spacer region
Rfam family: Eukaryotic small subunit ribosomal RNA (bases 1-46)
Source: RNAcentral
AAGUCGUAACAAGGUUUCCGUAGGUGAACCUGCGGAAGGAUCAUUAAACGUUUUCCAACGUACCAACCACGUGAACUCGUUUUCGAGUGUCUGCGGUCGGCCUUGAGGGCGUCAAAGUAUGGUGGGCAUCCGCGGGCCGCAAGGCUCGAGGCUCUGCUGUUUGACGUUCUGCAUCGUCUUCGGACGAGACAAGCCGCGCCUCAGCAACCAUUCAUUCUUAACUACUUUUAAAACGCAUUGUACCACUCGUACUAACACUUUGUGAAGUCGGCAGAGCGCCUCGCGCGCACUCCGAUGAACUUAAAGACAUUAAUUGCUGAACAACUCUUAGCAACGGAUAUCUUGGUUCUC